CUUUCCCCUGCGGCCUCUGCUCUGGCGGGAGUACCCCGGCCGAGCUCCCAGACACCCCCAGGAUGACUUGAAAGUAGGGCAUCAUUGGCCCUCCUGAAGAGAGGAAAUUAGUGGCUGGUGAACAGUCAGUAUGGCAUUCUCAGAUGCCUUUACCUGAGAGAGAAAUCUGCCUCCAUCAGGACCUCAGAUGUCUGACAGCCCUAUGUGACACCAGGAUAGGAUAUUCCUGUAAAUAAACUGCAGGACGCGUGGUGCUUUGCAACACUGACAACAUUUACUACGUGUUGAUGAUGUGCCAGAAUUGUAAACACAUUCUACAUAUCUUAAUCCUCUCAUCAGGCCUACAAGAGAAAGAAUGUGGUGGGAAGCGGGAGAGAGAGAAUCUUAAGCAGGCUCCAGGCCCCUGCAGAUCCCAAUGUUGGACUCUAUCUCACCAGCCUGAGAUCAUGACCUGAAUGAAGAGUCGGACCUUCAACCUAAUGAUCCAACCAGGUGCUCCAAAGAUUACUUUUUUAAAGGUUGGGGUAGAGUAGGGUUCCAUGCAUAGUAGUACAACUGCUAAAUUAAGGGCAUAAAGAUAAACAAACUUGUUACAAAUAAUACAACACAGAAAAGUUAUUCCAAGAUUAUUUCAACAAUAUAUCGAGAAUAAUCUCCCUA
This is a long non-coding RNA of Mustela lutreola (European mink), 660 nucleotides long. RefSeq lists it as uncharacterized. The record is from RefSeq and is a predicted model, not a curated record. Lineage: Eukaryota; Metazoa; Chordata; Mammalia; Carnivora; Mustelidae. The transcript is spliced from 2 exons.